Molecule: ribosomal RNA, 445 nt
Filed under: uncultured bacterium
Lineage: Bacteria
Description: partial 16S ribosomal RNA
Rfam family: Bacterial small subunit ribosomal RNA
Source: RNAcentral
CCUACGGGUGGCUGCAGUGGGGAAUAUUGGACAAUGGGCGCAAGCCUGAUCCAGCAAUGCCGCGUGUGUGAAGAAGGCCUGCGGGUUGUAAAGCACUUUAAGCAGGAAAGAAGGGCGGAGCGAUAAUACCGUUUCGCAUUGACGUUACCUGCAGAAUAAGCACCGGCUAACUCCGUGCCAGCAGCCGCGGUAAUACGGAGGGUGCGAGCGUUAAUCGGAAGUACUCGGCGUAAACCGUCCGUCGUCAAAUCCCUGGGCUUAACCUGGGAACUGCGGUGGAUACUGUCGGGCUAGAGUGUGGUAGAGGGGAGUGGAAUUUCCGGUGUAGCAGUGAAAUGCGUAGAGAUCGGAAGGAACACCAGUGGCGAAGGCGGCUCCCUGGACCAACACUGACGCUGAGGUGCGAAAGCGUGGGGAGCAAACAGGAUUAGAUACCCUAGUAGUC